AUGAUUGAUUACGAUAGGGCGGUUGAGAUCACCCGGAAAGGGGGUGAUUUCAUGACGAUCUUUGAGGCGAUUUCAAUAAUGAUCUCUUUUUCUACGAUGAUCAUUACACUAAUCGCUGUGAUUGUCGCUAUUUUUUCAGCAACAAAAAAGUAGCCCCCCUGUCGGCUAACGGGUAAGGGCUACUUUUCGAUUUAGAUAACGCCAAUCCCCUAUCAAAGAAUGGCUAUCAUUGGACCACAGUUCGCGCUGUG
This 251-nucleotide unclassified non-coding RNA is filed under the name Halobacillus karajensis. Its description in RNAcentral is "BsrG". The record is from RNAcentral. Lineage: Bacteria; Bacillati; Bacillota; Bacilli; Caryophanales; Bacillaceae.